GUCGAGAAUCUUUCACAAUGGGGGCAACCCUGAUGGAGCGACGCCGCGUGGAGGAUAAGGUCUUCGGAUUGUAAACUCCUGUCAUGCGUGAACAAGGUUGCUUGGAUAAUACCUGAGCAAAAUGAUGGUAGCGCAAGAGGAAGAGACGGCUAACUCUGUGCCAGCAGCCGCGGUAAUACAGAGGUCUCAAGCGUUGUUCGGAAUCACUGGGCGUAAAGGGUGCGAAGGUGGCGUGGCAAGUCAGAUGUGAAAGCCCGGGGCUCAACCGCGGAACUGCAUCCGAUACUGCAAUGCUAGAGUACUGGAGGGGUGACUAGAAUUCUCGGUGUAGCAGUGAAAUGCGUAGAUAUCGAGAGGAAUACCAAAGGCGUAGGCAGGUCACUGGACAGUUACUGACACUGAGGCACGAAGGCCAGGGGAGCGAACGGGAUUAGAAACCCCGGUAGUCC
Molecule: ribosomal RNA, 449 nt
Filed under: uncultured bacterium
Lineage: Bacteria
Description: bacterial SSU rRNA
Rfam family: Bacterial small subunit ribosomal RNA
Source: RNAcentral